Molecule: ribosomal RNA, 945 nt
Filed under: uncultured bacterium
Lineage: Bacteria
Description: bacterial SSU rRNA
Rfam family: Bacterial small subunit ribosomal RNA
Source: RNAcentral
UGCAAGUCGAGGGGCAGCGGAGAGGUAGCAAUACCUUUGCCGGCGACCGGCGCACGGGUGAGUAACACGUAUGCAAUCCACCUGUAACAGGGGGAUAACCCGGAGAAAUCCGGACUAAUACCCCAUAAUAUGGGCGCUCCGCAUGGAGAGCCCAUUAAAGAGAGCAAUUUUGGUUACAGACGAGCAUGCGCUCCAUUAGCCAGUUGGCGGGGUAACGGCCCACCAAGGCGACGAUGGAUAGGGGUUCUGAGAGGAAGGUCCCCCACAUUGGAACUGAGACACGGUCCAAACUCCUACGGGAGGCAGCAGUGAGGAAUAUUGGUCAAUGGUCGGCAGACUGAACCAGCCAAGUCGCGUGAGGGAAGACGGCCCUACGGGUUGUAAACCUCUUUUGUCGGAGAGUAAAGUACGCUACGCGUAGCGUAUUGCAAGUAUCCGAAGAAAAAGCAUCGGCUAACUCCGUGCCAGCAGCCGCGGUAAUACGGAGGAUGCGAGCGUUAUCCGGAUUUAUUGGGUUUAAAGGGUGCGUAGGCGGCACGCCAAGUCAGCGGUGAAAUUUCCGGGCUCAACCCGGAGUGUGCCGUUGAAACUGGCGAGCUAGAGUGCACAAGAGGCAGGCGGAAUGCGUGGUGUAGCGGUGAAAUGCAUAGAUAUCACGCAGAACCCCGAUUGCGAAGGCAGCCUGCUAGGGUGCGACAGACGCUGAGGCACGAAAGCGUGGGUAUCGAACAGGAUUAGAUACCCUGGUAGUCCACGCAGUAAACGAUGAAUACUAACUGUUUGCGAUACAAUGUAAGCGGUACAGCGAAAGCGUUAAGUAUUCCACCUGGGGAGUACGCCGGCAACGGUGAAACUCAAAGGAAUUGACGGGGGCCCGCACAAGCGGAGGAACAUGUGGUUUAAUUCGAUGAUACGCGAGGAACCUUACCCGGGCUCAAACGCAGG